Molecule: ribosomal RNA, 456 nt
Filed under: Dendropsophus aff. minutus
Lineage: Eukaryota; Metazoa; Chordata; Amphibia; Anura; Hylidae
Description: partial 16S ribosomal RNA
Rfam family: Bacterial large subunit ribosomal RNA
Source: RNAcentral
CGCCUCUUGCAACUGCAUAAGAGGUCCAGCCUGCCCAGUGACUAAGUUCAACGGCCGCGGUAUCCUAACCGUGCGAAGGUAGCGUAAUCACUUGUUCUUUAAAUGAGGACUAGUAUGAAUGGCACCACGAGGGUUAUGCUGUCUCCUUUUUCUAAUCAAUGAAACUGAUCUCCCCGUGAAGAAGCGGGGAUAUACCUAUAAGACGAGAAGACCCUAUGGAGCUUUAAACCAUGUAACACUGGCUUACACAUUAAAAUAUUCCAGAAUUUUCAUAAUUACUCUAGCCACAAUGAUUACUAGUUUUAGGUUGGGGUGACCACGGAGCAAAGAUUAACCUCCAUGUUGAACGGAGCUACUCCUGAACCAAAAGCCACGACUUUAAGCACUAAUAAAUUAACAUUAAUUGACCCAAUAUUUUUGAUCAACGAACCAAGUUACCCUAGGGAUAACAGCGCA